RNAcentral lists this ribosomal RNA (491 nucleotides) under uncultured bacterium. RNAcentral describes it as "partial 16S ribosomal RNA". It matches the Rfam family "Bacterial small subunit ribosomal RNA", at positions 28 to 507 of the family's 1533-position model. The record is from RNAcentral.
GAUGAACGCUAGCGAUAGGCUUAACACAUGCAAGUCGAGGGGUAACGUGUUGGAAGCUUGCUUCCGAUGACGACGACCGGCGGAUGGGUGCGUAACGCGUAUGCAACUUGCCUCACAGUGGAGAAUAACCCGGAGAAAUCCGGACUAAUACUCCAUACACUCUUAAGUACGCCUGUACAUGAGAGGAAAGAUUUAUCGCUGUGAGAUAGGCAUGCGUCCUAUUAGGUAGUUGGUGAGGUAACGGCUCACCAAGCCGACGAUAGGUAGGGGUGCUGAGAGGCAGAUCCCCCACGAUGGGACUGAGACACGGCCCAAACUCCGACGGGAGGCAGCAGUGAUGAAUAUUGGUCAAUGGAGGAAACUCUGAACCAGCCAAGUCGCGUGAAGGAAGAAUGUCCUAAGGAAUGUAAACUUCUUGAGCGAGCGAGUAAGGACUUCCACGUGAUGGGAGUUUGAAAGUAGCUAGAGAAUAAGUAUCGGCUAACUCCGUG